This is a non-coding RNA of Salmo salar (Atlantic salmon), 842 nucleotides long. Lineage: Eukaryota; Metazoa; Chordata; Actinopteri; Salmoniformes; Salmonidae. The record is from RefSeq and is a predicted model, not a curated record.
CAGCUGGUCUCAGACUACUUUGUAGUGUUUGUGACAGUAUCACCCAUCCCCCGCUGGUGCCAUGAGGUCUAGGGCCAUACAUUUGCCCUGUCUAUCAGGAGCCAACAACCUACUCACCCUGACAGCCUCCACUCUUUCACCACUUAAUUUCCCAAAACAGUGUGCCGAUAGCAACAAUGCUAUCCGUUGAACUCAUGCCUAUUUGUGAUCAAAUGUCAUUUUCAGGAUUUAAAGCGCAGGUUCAAGUCAAUGCUCCAUCACAUCUGUGGAGUCCAUCGCUGGGAAGAGGACAAAGUGGAAGAACGCUGUUACCAUGGACAGCUAACAGAGGACCAGCAGAGGAAGCCCUCUACUCAGACAACACUGUUCAAGCACACAGGAACACGUAUAUGUUGAAAUACUGUCAAAAGCGUCUCCACUUCAAAGACUACAGCAUGAAAGCCCAAACCCAGUUGACAGUUUUGGACCACAAUGAGAAUCAGAACCGGAAUAGAGGACAAGCCUCAACUGUUGCUGGCAAUCCAAGACACAGCAUUAUUGUGUUGUUGUACAGUGGAUUGCCCGGGCCAAUAUACCAGUUCACCACUCAAACAUUCAGGAAUGACCUGAUGUAGCACGUCCUGCAGAAAUGCAUGGACAAAUUAGUGAAAUACUGGGAACCAAAAUUCUGUGGAAGCGGCCGUCAUCUGGCUGCCAACAUAGCCCCAUCCCAAAACCCAGCAAGGAGGUUAUUGCAGAACACACAUCAAGAUUCAAGAACACUUGAGUGCCAUUUUGAGAAUGCCCUGUCUAUACUGUGUAUUGCUCAUUAUGUGCAGUGAUUUACCUUCAGUAUUGAAACG